AUUAGACAGUACUCUCUCAGAACCAGGACUCUAGAAACUAAAUUUCACAUGAUAUUUAGACAGUACUCACUCAGAACCACCGAUGGCCAAUAGUAAAAUUAAAUAAUUGCAUCAGUAACGGCUCGAAGGAUGUGGGUGUGAUUCUGGCCGUAUUGCUUCGCCUGUGAAGGGAUCAAAUUUGUACGGCUGGCCAGUGAACGGAUCAAACCUCAUCUGGGGCCGCUCAGUCGGACGAUCAAUAGAUGAAUUUAGAGCUGAA
RNAcentral lists this unclassified non-coding RNA (259 nucleotides) under Hevea brasiliensis (rubber tree). Lineage: Eukaryota; Viridiplantae; Streptophyta; Magnoliopsida; Malpighiales; Euphorbiaceae. The record is from RNAcentral.